Transfer RNA from Candidatus Nitrospira nitrificans, 87 nucleotides. It matches the Rfam family "tRNA". From Rfam's summary of the family: Transfer RNA (tRNA) molecules are approximately 80 nucleotides in length. The record is from Rfam. Lineage: Bacteria; Pseudomonadati; Nitrospirota; Nitrospiria; Nitrospirales; Nitrospiraceae.
GCCGGAGUGGCGGAAUAGGCAGACGCAAGGGACUUAAAAUCCCUCGGGCUCAAAAGGCCCGUACCGGUUCGAUCCCGGUCUCCGGCA